Molecule: ribosomal RNA, 592 nt
Filed under: Hanseniaspora uvarum
Lineage: Eukaryota; Fungi; Ascomycota; Saccharomycetes; Saccharomycodales; Saccharomycodaceae
Description: eukaryotic LSU rRNA
Rfam family: Eukaryotic large subunit ribosomal RNA
Source: RNAcentral
GAAAAUUGUGUGUUUACCUUAGUACGCGCGAGUGAGCGGUAAAAGCUCAAAUUUGAAAUCUGGUACUUUCAGUGCCCGAGUUGUAAUUUGUAGAAUUUGUCUUUGAUUAGGUCCUUGUCUAUGUUCCUUGGAACAGGACGUCAUAGAGGGUGAGAAUCCCGUUUGGCGAGGAUACCUUUUCUCUGUAAGACUUUUUCGAAGAGUCGAGUUGUUUGGGAAUGCAGCUCAAAGUGGGUGGUAAAUUCCAUCUAAAGCUAAAUAUUGGCGAGAGACCGAUAGCGAACAAGUACAGUGAUGGAAAGAUGAAAAGAACUUUGAAAAGAGAGUGAAAAAGUACGUGAAAUUGUUGAAAGGGAAGGGCAUUUGAUCAGACAUGGUGUUUUUUGCAUGCACUCGCCUCUCGUGGGCUUGGGCCUCUCAAAAAUUUCACUGGGCCAACAUCAAUUCUGGCAGCAGGAUAAAUCAUUAAGAAUGUAGCUACUUCGGUAGUGUUAUAGCUUUUUGGAAUACUGUUAGCCGGGAUUGAGGACUGCGCUUCGGCAAGGAUGUUGGCAUAAUGGUUAAAUGCCGCCCGUCUUGAACACACGAACCA